Molecule: ribosomal RNA, 727 nt
Filed under: uncultured bacterium
Lineage: Bacteria
Description: bacterial SSU rRNA
Rfam family: Bacterial small subunit ribosomal RNA
Source: RNAcentral
GGUAGUCCACGCCGUAAACGAUGUCGACUUGGAGGUUGUGCCCUUGAGGCGUGGCUUCCGGAGCUAACGCGUUAAGUCGACCGCCUGGGGAGUACGGCCGCAAGGUUAAAACUCAAAUGAAUUGACGGGGGCCCGCACAAGCGGUGGAGCAUGUGGUUUAAUUCGAUGCAACGCGAAGAACCUUACCUACUCUUGACAUCCAGAGAACUUAGCAGAGAUGCUUUGGUGCCUUCGGGAACUCUGAGACAGGUGCUGCAUGGCUGUCGUCAGCUCGUGUUGUGAAAUGUUGGGUUAAGUCCCGCAACGAGCGCAACCCUUAUCCUUUGUUGCCAGCGGUUAGGCCGGGAACUCAAAGGAGACUGUCAGUGAUAAACUGGAGGAAGGUGGGGAUGACGUCAAGUCAUCAUGGCCCUUACGAGUAGGGCUACACACGUGCUACAAUGGCGCAUACAAAGAGAAGCGACCUCGCGAGAGCAAGCGGACCUCAUAAAGUGCGUCGUAGUCCGGAUUGGAGUCUGCAACUCGACUCCAUGAAGUCGGAAUCGCUAGUAAUCGUAGAUCAGAAUGCUACGGUGAAUACGUUCCCGGGCCUUGUACACACCGCCCGUCACACCAUGGGAGUGGGUUGCAAAAGAAGUAGGUAGCUUAACCUUCGGGAGGGCGCUUACCACUUUGUGAUUCAUGACUGGGGUGAAGUCGUAACAAGGUAACCGUAGGGGAACCCUGC